RNAcentral lists this ribosomal RNA (413 nucleotides) under uncultured bacterium. RNAcentral's name for it is "bacterial SSU rRNA". It matches the Rfam family "Bacterial small subunit ribosomal RNA", at positions 352 to 782 of the family's 1533-position model. The record is from RNAcentral.
CAGUGGGGAAUAUUGGACAAUGGGCGCAAGCCUGAUCCAGCAAUGCCGCGUGAGUGAUGAAGGCCUUAGGGUUGUAAAGCUCUUUCGCACGCGACGAUGAUGACGGUAGCGUGAGAAGAAGCCCCGGCUAACUUCGUGCCAGCAGCCGCGGUAAUACGAAGGGGGCUAGCGUUGUUCGGAAUUACUGGGCGUAAAGGGCGCGUAGGCGGCCUGUUUAGUCAGAAGUGAAAGCCCCGGGCUCAACCUGGGAAUAGCUUUUGAUACUGGCAGGCUUGAGUUCCGGAGAGGAUGGUGGAAUUCCCAGUGUAGAGGUGAAAUUCGUAGAUAUUGGGAAGAACACCGGUGGCGAAGGCGGCCAUCUGGACGGACACUGACGCUGAGGCGCGAAAGCGUGGGGAGCAAACAGGAUUAGA